This 279-nucleotide ribosomal RNA is filed under the name uncultured bacterium. RNAcentral's name for it is "partial 16S ribosomal RNA". It matches the Rfam family "Bacterial small subunit ribosomal RNA", at positions 506 to 784 of the family's 1533-position model. The record is from RNAcentral.
UGCCAGCAGCCGCGGUAAUACGGAGGGAGCGAGCGUUAAUCAGAAUUACUGGGCGUAAAGCGCGCGUAGGCGGUUUUGUAAGUCGGAUGUGAAAGCCCCGGGCUCAACCUGGGAAUGGCAUUCGAUACUGCAUAACUAGAGUAUGGUAGAGGGAAGUGGAAUUUCCGGUGUAGCGGUGAAAUGCGUAGAUAUCGGAAGGAACACCGGUGGCGAAGGCGACUUCCUGGGCCAAUACUGACGCUGAGGUGCGAAAGCUAGGGGAGCAAACGGGAUUAGAUA